AUUGAACGCUGGCGGCAGGCCUAACACAUGCAAGUCGAGCGAGCGGCGGACGGGUGAGUAAUGUCUUGGAAACUGCCUGAUGGAGGGGGAUAACUACUGGAAACGGUAUCUAAUACCGCAUACCAUCAGAUGUGCCCAGAGGGGAUUAGCUCGUUGGUGGGGUAAUGGCGCACCAAGGCGACGAUCCCUAGCUGGUCUGAGAGGAUUACUAGCCACACUGGAACGGAGACACGGUACAGACGCCUACGUGAGGAAGCAGUGGGGAAUAUGGAACAAGGGGCGCAAGCCUGAUGCAGCCAGGCCGCGUGUGUGAAGAAGGCAUGCGGGUUGUAAAGCACUUUCAGCGAGGAGGCGUUACUCGCAGAAGAAGCACCGGCUAACUCCGUGCCAGCCGCCGCGGUAAUUC
RNAcentral lists this ribosomal RNA (406 nucleotides) under uncultured bacterium. Its description in RNAcentral is "partial 16S ribosomal RNA". It matches the Rfam family "Bacterial small subunit ribosomal RNA", at positions 30 to 526 of the family's 1533-position model. The record is from RNAcentral.